CAAAAAUAAUUAAAACAAAUUUUCAAACUAAAAGGUCAUUAGCUAAGUUGAAACUGGUAGCAAGGAUAAAUUUUAAAAUAUCUUUUAUGUAGGGUUGUGUCAAAUCUUCAUUCAAUAUUCCAUAACCCAUACAUCCUCAACCUCAAGUGAAAAAGAUUACCAAAGCCAAGGACAUUCCCAUUAGUUUGGGGGCACAAGUUCAAACUUAUGCAAAAUAAAAACAAAGUUUUUGGAAAACCAAAAAGAGAAUGCAACUUGUAUGAAAUGAGUUGCAUGUUUUUAAAAGAAAGUGAGAUUUUUG
RNAcentral lists this long non-coding RNA (301 nucleotides) under Vitis vinifera (wine grape). RNAcentral describes it as "long non-coding RNA (VVIN_LNC007188)". The record is from RNAcentral. Lineage: Eukaryota; Viridiplantae; Streptophyta; Magnoliopsida; Vitales; Vitaceae.